GUAGUCUCGCACAGAUGCAUAUCAAUAAGCGGAGGAAAAGAAACUAACAAGGAUUCCCUCAGUAACGGCGAGUGAAGCGGGAAGAGCUCAAAUUUGAAAUCUUGAAGGGUCACCUUUCACGAAUUGUAGUUUAAAGAAGUGUUUUCUGUUACGAUCGUAAUAUAAGUUCUUUGGAAUAGGACAUCACAGAGGGUGAGAAUCCCGUCUAUGAUUGCGAUUUGUAGCUUUGUGAUACACUUUCAAAGAGUCGGGUUGUUUGGGAAUGCAGCCCAAAACGGGAGGUAAAUUUCUUCUAAGGCUAAAUAUUGGCGAGAGACCGAUAGCGAACAAGUACCGUGAGGGAAAGAUGAAAAGAACUUUGAAAAGAGAGUUAAACAGUACGUGAAAUUGUCAAAAGGGAAGCGUUUGACACCAGUGUUGUUUUCUGAAAAUCAACCUCUGUUAGCUUUAUGCAUGUUUGUUUAGACCUAAUCAGCUAUCUUGCAUGUUCUAUUGUUUGCAGUGGUGCACUUUUCAGUUUACAGGUCAACAUCAGUUUUUUUUACCGUAAAAAAGUUAAAGAAGGUAGCUCAUGGCUCCGGUCGUGAGUGUUAUAGUCUUUUUCCUAUGCGGUAGGAGAGACUGAGGUCUGCAGUGUAGGCUAUUUGGCUAGAUACUCAGGUGCUAUGUGAUACCAUUUCAUAAACAACUUGUUGAUUAUGUUUUGUCUAUUGCAUACUCGCUUGUACUAUCAUACCUACGCUUAGGAUGUUGAGUCGUAGAGCCGCAG
Molecule: ribosomal RNA, 769 nt
Filed under: uncultured Neocallimastigales
Lineage: Eukaryota; Fungi; Neocallimastigomycota; Neocallimastigomycetes; Neocallimastigales
Description: partial large subunit ribosomal RNA
Rfam family: Eukaryotic large subunit ribosomal RNA
Source: RNAcentral